This 492-nucleotide ribosomal RNA is filed under the name uncultured bacterium. RNAcentral's name for it is "partial 16S ribosomal RNA". It matches the Rfam family "Bacterial small subunit ribosomal RNA", at positions 29 to 507 of the family's 1533-position model. The record is from RNAcentral.
AGUGAACGCUGGCGGUAGGCCUAACACAUGCGAGUCGAACGGCAGCACAGUAAGAGCCUGCUCUUACGGGUGGCGAGUGGCGGACGGGUGAGGAAUACAUCGGAAUCUACUUUUUCGUGGGGGAUAACGUAGGGAAACUUACGCUAAUACCGCAUACGACCUACGGGUGAAAGCAGGGGAUCUUCGGACAUUGCGCGAUCGAAUGAGCCGAUGUCGGAUUAGUUAGUUGGCGGGGUAAAGGCCGACCAAGGCGACGAUCCGUAGCUGGUCUGAGAGGAUGAUCAGCCACACUGGAACUGAGACACGGCCCAGACUCCUACGGGAGGCAGCAGUGGGGAAUAUUGGACAAUGGGCGCAAGCCUGCUCCAGCCAUACCGCGUGGGUGAAGAAGGCCUUCGGGUUGUAAAGCCCUUUUGUUGGGAAAGAAAAGCAGCAGGUUAAUACCCCGCUGUUCUGACGGUACCCUAAGAAUAAGCACCGGCUAACUUCGUG